GCCCCCGUAGCUCAAUUGGCAGAGCAGCUCCCUUUUAAGGAGAAGGUUGGGGGUUCGAUUCCUCCCGGGGGCA
This 73-nucleotide transfer RNA is filed under the name bacterium. Its description in RNAcentral is "tRNA-Lys". It matches the Rfam family "tRNA". Rfam says of the family: Transfer RNA (tRNA) molecules are approximately 80 nucleotides in length. Their secondary structure includes four short double-helical elements and three loops (D, anti-codon, and T loops). The record is from RNAcentral.